UUCAUUGUUCAUGUAUCUGAGUCGAAAAAUAAAGGAAAAUCAAUAUAAAACAAAUCAAACUAGCAUAUUUUGGCCUCUUCUCGGAUUCUUCUUUCAUGAGUUUGUGUUAUCAAACUAGCGUAUAAUUUUUUUUAUUAUGGAUGAUUUUAUAUGGUCGAGAUAUGUAAAUGAUUUUUGUAAAAUACAAAAACUUGAUAGGCUAAAGAUGUGCCUAAACGCUUGAAAGGAAUGGAGUUCGCGAAAGCAAUGAAGACGUUUAC
RNAcentral lists this long non-coding RNA (260 nucleotides) under Lathyrus oleraceus (garden pea). RNAcentral's name for it is "Pisum sativum (pea) long non-coding RNA (PSAT_LNC027772)". The record is from RNAcentral. Lineage: Eukaryota; Viridiplantae; Streptophyta; Magnoliopsida; Fabales; Fabaceae.